Molecule: ribosomal RNA, 667 nt
Filed under: uncultured Actinomycetales bacterium
Lineage: Bacteria; Bacillati; Actinomycetota; Actinomycetes; Actinomycetales
Description: bacterial SSU rRNA
Rfam family: Bacterial small subunit ribosomal RNA
Source: RNAcentral
CUUAACACAUGCAAGUCGAACGGAAAGGCCCUGCUUGCAGGGUACUCGAGUGGCGAACGGGUGAGUAACACGUGGGUGAUCUGCCCUGCACUUCGGGAUAAGCUUGGGAAACUGGGUCUAAUACCGGAUAGGAGCCAUCUUUAGUGUGGUGGUUGGAAAGUUUUUUCGGUGUAGGAUGAGCUCGCGGCCUAUCAGCUUGUUGGUGGGGUAAUGGCCUACCAAGGCGGCGACGGGUAGCCGGCCUGAGAGGGUGUACGGCCACAUUGGGACUGAGAUACGGCCCAGACUCCUACGGGAGGCAGCAGUGGGGAAUAUUGCACAAUGGGCGCAAGCCUGAUGCAGCGACGCCGCGUGGGGGAUGAAGGCCUUCGGGUUGUAAACUCCUUUCGCUAGGGACGAAGCUUCGUGUGACGGUACCUAGAUAAGAAGCACCGGCUAACUACGUGCCAGCAGCCGCGGUAAUACGUAGGGUGCGAGCGUUGUCCGGAAUUACUGGGCGUAAAGAGCUCGUAGGUGGUUUGUCGCGUCGUCUGUGAAAUUCUGGGGCUUAACUCCGGGCGUGCAGGCGAUACGGGCAUAACUUGAGUGCUGUAGGGGUAACUGGAAUUCCUGGUGUAGCGGUGAAAUGCGCAGAUAUCAGGAGGAACACCGAUGGCGAAGGCAGGUU